UGUGUGCGUGCUGCCACCUUGGCUACUUGAGAUUACCCCCAUGGACCUGGAGGCAAGAGGACAAACGUAAAUGCAAAGCUCAAACUGGCUGCACUGUGAGUAAUGACAUCCAUUUUCUCAGACCUCUGGACUUCAUGCCUUCUUCCGGAAUCCUCAGAACUACCGUCGAUUCACCUCUAGCUUGUUUCUGCCAAGUAAAAACGCAUGAAAAAAUAAUUGGAGCCAAACACCACAAUAUUUUGAAGCUGUGUAUUUGUUUAUGGUGGGGUAACUAGUAAUUGAAUAAUGAGGUGCUCCUGUUUGCUGAGGAAGACCUGGUGGUUGGUGAGAAAAGAAUAAUUUACCUCUGUGGAAAUGGUGAUACUCCCUUUUACACCGAUUUCAGCUUCCUGGGACAAAUGAAACUGGAAGGAGGUUUCUGUGAAAUGACUCCAAGAGCUGAUUGCAUUUCAGAGCAUUUUUUUAAAAUGGAAAUAUGGGUCCUCAAGGGACUUUGUGUUAUUUUGGAUGUGCUUUAGAAGAGCAAAGUGGAAGCCAUGGCACAAGCAAAGAGAAAGAAGACAAAGGGAUCACUU
Molecule: long non-coding RNA, 575 nt
Organism: Mus caroli (Ryukyu mouse)
Lineage: Eukaryota; Metazoa; Chordata; Mammalia; Rodentia; Muridae
Source: RefSeq, a predicted model, not a curated record